CCCUUAGAUGUUCUGGGCCGCACGCGCGCUACACUGAUUCAUGCAACAAGUUUUGUCCUUGGCUGAUAGGCCUGGGUAAUCUUUGAACGUGAGUCGUGAUGGGGAUAGAUGAUUGCAAUUAUUCAUCUUCAACGAGGAAUUCCUAGUAAACGCAAGUCAUCAGCUUGCAUUGAUUACGUCCCUGCCCUUUGUACACACCGCCCGUCGCACCUACCGAUUGAAUGGUCCGGUGAAAUCUUCGGAUCUGAGAGAUGUCUGAUUAAUUUCGGACGCCUUUUGGAAAAGUUGCUUAAACCUUACCAUUUAGAGGAAGGUGAAGUCGUAACA
This 327-nucleotide ribosomal RNA is filed under the name uncultured eukaryote. Its description in RNAcentral is "partial 18S ribosomal RNA". It matches the Rfam family "Eukaryotic small subunit ribosomal RNA", at positions 1470 to 1796 of the family's 1831-position model. The record is from RNAcentral.